Molecule: ribosomal RNA, 773 nt
Filed under: uncultured Mycobacterium sp.
Lineage: Bacteria; Bacillati; Actinomycetota; Actinomycetes; Mycobacteriales; Mycobacteriaceae
Description: bacterial SSU rRNA
Rfam family: Bacterial small subunit ribosomal RNA
Source: RNAcentral
AGAGCUCGUAGGUGGUUUGUCGCGUUGUUCGUGAAAUCUCACGGCUUAACUGUGAGCGUGCGGGCGAUACGGGCAGACUUGAGUACUGCAGGGGAGACUGGAAUUCCUGGUGUAGCGGUGGAAUGCGCAGAUGUCAGGAGGAACACCGGUGGCGAAGGCGGGUCUCUGGGCAGUAACUGACGCUGAGGAGCGAAAGCGUGGGGAGCGAACAGGAUUAGAUACCCUGGUAGUCCACGCCGUAAACGGUGGGUACUAGGUGUGGGUUUCCUUCCUUGGGAUCCGUGCCGUAGCUAACGCAUUAAGUACCCCGCCUGGGGAGUACGGCCGCAAGGCUAAAACUCAAAGAAAUUGACGGGGGCCCGCACAAGCGGCGGAGCAUGUGGAUUAAUUCGAUGCAACGCGAAGAACCUUACCUGGGUUUGACAUGCACAGGACGCCGGCAGAGAUGUCGGUUCCCUUGUGGCCCGUGUGCAGGUGGUGCAUGGCUGUCGUCAGCUCGUGUCGUGAGAUGUUGGGUUAAGUCCCGCAACGAGCGCAACCCUUGUCUCAUGUUGCCAGCGGGUAAUGCCGGGGACUCGUGAGAGACUGCCGGGGUCAACUCGGAGGAAGGUGGGGAUGACGUCAAGUCAUCAUGCCCCUUAUGUCCAGGGCUUCACACAUGCUACAAUGGCCGGUACAAAGGGCUGCGAUGCCGCGAGGUUAAGCGAAUCCUUUUAAAGCCGGUCUCAGUUCGGAUCGGGGUCUGCAACUCGACCCCGUGAAGUCGGAGUCGC